GGCCCAGUGGUGUAGUGGUAAACACGCCCACUUAUUGUAUGGGUCUUUAGCAAUUCGUUUGUGGGAGAUUCUUGUUCGACUCAGGGAUGGGUCA
Mycena rebaudengoi is the source of this 94-nucleotide non-coding RNA. Lineage: Eukaryota; Fungi; Basidiomycota; Agaricomycetes; Agaricales; Mycenaceae. The record is from the annotation of a GenBank genome assembly.